This 332-nucleotide ribosomal RNA is filed under the name uncultured fungus. Its description in RNAcentral is "eukaryotic LSU rRNA". The stretch from base 277 to 332 matches the Rfam family "Eukaryotic large subunit ribosomal RNA", at positions 1 to 56 of the family's 3401-position model. The record is from RNAcentral. Lineage: Eukaryota; Fungi.
GUGAAUCAUCGAGUCUUUGAACGCAUAUGGCACCUUUUGACACUUGUUGAAAGGUAUGCCUGUUUGAGAAUCAUAUUCUACCAUUUCUUUUUGUUUCAUUGACGUUCAUGAAUUCAUUUUUAUGACCAUCAAAGCAACAGAUUGACACAAUUGGACUUUUAUCAUUAAUCGUCUUGAAUUCUGAAAUGAUUGACUUGUUGAUAGAGAUGGAAUAGAGAAUGGUAAUUCAUUCGAUAUAAUACAUUUUGGCUAUGUCAAAAUACACCAACAAUUUAAUGAUCUCAAAUCAGGCAAGGCUACCCGCUGAACUUAAGCAUAUCAAUAAGCGGAGG